RNAcentral lists this ribosomal RNA (254 nucleotides) under uncultured bacterium. RNAcentral's name for it is "partial 16S ribosomal RNA". It matches the Rfam family "Bacterial small subunit ribosomal RNA", at positions 524 to 776 of the family's 1533-position model. The record is from RNAcentral.
UACGUAGGUGGCAAGCGUUGUCCGGAUUUAUUGGGUUUAAAGGGUGCGUAGGCGGCCUUAUAAGUCAGACGUGAAAUCCCUCGGCUUAACCGGGGAACUGCGUCUGAUACUGGAUGGCUUGAGUUUGGGAGAGGGAUGCGGAAUUCCAGGUGUAGCGGUGAAAUGCGUAGAUAUCUGGAGGAACACCGGUGACGAAGGCGGCAUCCUGGACCAACACUGACGCCGAGUGAGCGAAAGCCAGGGGAGCAAACGGG